Molecule: long non-coding RNA, 1213 nt
Organism: Alosa sapidissima (American shad)
Lineage: Eukaryota; Metazoa; Chordata; Actinopteri; Clupeiformes; Clupeidae
Exons: 5
Source: RefSeq, a predicted model, not a curated record
UAUGUGUAUCCAAAGGCUGGUGAAGCGCAGGGGAAGUUUUUUUUCCUCUCGUUUCAGUGAUUGGUAGCCUACAUCAUCUGGGUGAUGGCUUCGAAUAUGUGUAGCAUGUUCGAUAUAUUUCCACUCUCUCGCCUGUACUACUGUAACUGAAGUUCUUAAACUUACGAUCUUAAAGAGACCAGCGGAUCCUCUAACUCUUGUGGGUCGCCACCACUCGCUUAGUGCCCAUACAGAAAAAUCAAGGGAAAAAAUAUAUUCACAUAUAUGCAGCUACAUCCAGCUUAUAUUUAAAUAGAUGGCUACAAUAUAUUUAAUACAUAUAUAGUACAAGAAUGUAUAUAUGCAAGUAUAUGUGGGACCCAGCAAUGUAACAUAUAUGUGGAUAUCUUACAUGAGAACAUAUAUGGUGAAUAUAUUCAAUUAACUUAUUUGCACACAGGCAGUGAUGGGUGGGGUUUACAAAAUACGUCACUACCAACGUACUCUAAGGUCGUUGGAAUAACGGUUAAAAUGUUUGCAGCUUUUUCACUAGCUGCUACAUAAGCAUAACUAACAGCUACUACUAGUCCAAAUGUAAAACGUUUGCUCUGGUUAAGUGGAUUGGCGGGGAGUAUGAGGGCAAAACCAGAAUUUUGCGGACUGACUGCAUUAGUAAACCUAGCGUUAAUGAGGAAGACUUUUUCAACGGCUCUGUAACCUUAUGGGACAACAUCUUGCUAGAAACUAUGUGGUGGAGGGGAGGAAGGCAGCCAAGAGGUAGUUUGGCCAUGGUGGUCAAAAUUGCUGAGAGGCAACACUAGAAAGCUACAUCAAGGACACCGGAGGAUGGACCAGAAGACCUGAGACCAAGACGACCCAAGCCCAACCCAUAGUAUGCUUCACUGACAAAUGUUGAUGCUUCAUCAUCACAUAGACCAAAGGUUUCAGAGAAGGCUGGUAGAGCUCUCUAUGAGUGUGAGCUGUGGGAGAUAACCAAGAACUGACAACCACCUAAGAAGAGGUGGCGAUAAUGGCUCUCCAAGAGGAGGUUGAGGCACUUCGAGGGAAUGCCUGGACCCUGAGAGGACUAAGACGAUAAUUGAGGCCACCCUGAAGCAGUUCCCAGGCCAGACACUCACUCCAGAUUGCUGGGCCAGGCAAUAAAUGCCAAAGUGACAGAAUUGAGGUUCCAUAACAAAAACAAAGAUUUUCAAUAAAAUAGAAUAAAAGAUAA